UCACUUGCCGGCUUACCGUUUCUAAGCAACGUUGCUCGCAGUUAGUCCCACACUAACUUGUCUAGUAGCUUACUAACAACCAACAUUUGUUAACAAUAACACUUUAGCGUCAUCUCAUUUCCGUCUGGCAGAAUGUGAACGCCAUAUCGGUGGUGUUUGUUGGGAACCUACAGACGUGUAGUGGGCUUAGCGCAACGCGGCUUAAGGCAGCACCUCAACAACCUGUAACUUCAGUUACGUUUUGAUUCUCAGACCAGCCGGACGUUGUGGAAAAAGUGCUCGAGGAAACAACGGUUGUGUGAAUUCGUUGCUGUCGGUUAGUGCGCGUUCGUGUGUGUGUGUGCCGUUGUGGUGUGUGUUGGGAGAGUGCCAUUGUGUAACUGUUAUCGGCGCAAUGCCUUCUUUGUAUGCUCAUUUGCUCAGCUCAGUUCAGUCAACGCGUUGGAAUUGAUUUGCAUUAAACAAAUUAGGAAUAACAGCAGUGUACGCGUAGCAGCUCAACAACGAGCACUGCACUGCUAGUAGUAAACGACAAAAACAAAAAAUCGUUUAACAAAUUACCAGAACAGCAAAAAGUAUAUAGUUCAUUUUAAGCAAAGAAGCGCAAUCAAAGCACUCGGAAUGCGAAUUUCAAGUGGCAGCAGUAGCCGCUGCGGCAGUUGGACAUCACUGCAAGGGGCGUCAGCAGCAAAGACACUAUCUGCAACAACAAUGAUUAUGACAACACGAAAGGGGCAA
Rhagoletis zephyria (snowberry fruit fly) is the source of this 738-nucleotide long non-coding RNA. RefSeq lists it as uncharacterized. NCBI's taxonomy places the organism in Eukaryota, Metazoa, Arthropoda, Insecta, Diptera, Tephritidae. The record is from RefSeq and is a predicted model, not a curated record.